RNAcentral lists this ribosomal RNA (384 nucleotides) under uncultured bacterium. RNAcentral's name for it is "bacterial SSU rRNA". It matches the Rfam family "Bacterial small subunit ribosomal RNA", at positions 28 to 412 of the family's 1533-position model. The record is from RNAcentral.
GACGAACGCUGGUGGCGUGCUUAACACAUGCAAGUCGAGCGGAAAGGCCCUUUCGGGGGUACUCGAGCGGCGAACGGGUGAGUAACACGUGAGUAAUCUGCCCUUGGCUUUGGGAUAACUACCGGAAACGGUGGCUAAUACCGGAUACGACGUACUCAGGCAUCUGAUGUGCGUGGAAAGUUUUUUCGGCCAGGGAUGUGCUCGCGGCCUAUCAGCUUGUUGGUGGGGUAAUGGCCUACCAAGGCUUCGACGGGUAGCCGGCCUGAGAGGGUGACCGGCCACACUGGGACUGAGACACGGCCCAGACCUCCUACGGGAGGCAGCAGUGGGGAAUAUUGGACAAUGGGCGGAAGCCUGAUCCAGCAACGCCGCGUGAGGGAUGAC